RNAcentral lists this ribosomal RNA (490 nucleotides) under uncultured bacterium. Its description in RNAcentral is "partial 16S ribosomal RNA". It matches the Rfam family "Bacterial small subunit ribosomal RNA", at positions 30 to 507 of the family's 1533-position model. The record is from RNAcentral.
AUUGAACGCUGGCGGCAGGCCUAACACAUGCGAGUCGAACGGUAACAGGAAGAAGCUUGCUUCUUUGCUGACGAGUGGCGGACGGGUGAGUAAUGUCUGGGAAACUGCCUGAUGGAGGGGGAUAACUACUGGAAACGGUAGCUAAUACCGCAUAACGUCGCAAGACCAAAAAGGGGGACCUUCGGGCCUCUUGCCAUCGGAUGUGCCCAGGUGGGAUUAGCUAGUAGGUGGGGUAACGGCUCACCUAGGCGACGAUCCCUAGCUGGUCUGAGAGGAUGACCAGCCACACUGGAACUGAGACACGGUCCAGACUCCUACGGGAGGCAGCAGUGGGGAAUAGUGCACAAUGGGCGCAAGCCUGAUGCAGCCAUGCCGCGUGUAUGAAGAAGGCCUUCGGGUUGUAAAGUACUUUCAGCGGGGAGGAAGGGAGUAAAGUUAAUACCUUUGCUCAUUGACGUUACCCGCAGAAGAAGCACCGGCUAACUACGUG